GCGGGGGAGCUGGAAGGCUAGAUAUGGGACAGCUGAGGGAAUCCUGCUCCUCUGCCUUUGCAUUACUGAAAGGAAAAGUGGGACGGGACGGGACGCAGGGAGAAGGAAAGCAGCCUCCCUAGGACAGACCUCGAGGACCCUGAGGCUGUAGCUGGUCGGGGGAAGCAAAAGGAGGCUGGUGCUUCACCUUACAAGAAGAAGGGUGCACGAAGCAGCAUUCCCGGCAAGAAGAGGAUUCCCACGGCAUCGGUUACACGCGCGCACACACACGCACACAUACACGCCAGCGCAGAGGGAAUAGUUUUGGGUGGUGGGUGUUUUCUUCUUCUUCGUUGUUCGGAAGCAAUCUAACCAGGAGAAGAACACUGAGCCCUUUUCCUUCC
RNAcentral lists this long non-coding RNA (383 nucleotides) under Phascolarctos cinereus (koala). RNAcentral describes it as "lncRNA (ENSPCIG00000037418.1)". The record is from RNAcentral. Lineage: Eukaryota; Metazoa; Chordata; Mammalia; Diprotodontia; Phascolarctidae.